AUUGAACGCUCGCGGGAUGCUUUACACAUGCAAGUCGAACGGCAGCGCGGACUUCGGUCUGGCGGCGAGUGGCGAACGGGUGAGUAAUGUAUCGGAACGUGCCCAGUAGCGGGGGAUAACUACGCGAAAGCGUAGCUAAUACCGCAUACGCCCUACGGGGGAAAGCAGGGGAUCGUAAGACCUUGCACUAUUGGAGCGGCCGAUAUCGGAUUAGCUAGUUGGUGAGGUAACGGCUCACCAAGGCGACGAUCCGUAGCUGGUUUGAGAGGACGACCAGCCACACUGGGACUGAGACACGGCCCAGACUCCUACGGGAGGCAGCAGUGGGGAAUUUUGGACGAUGGGGGCAACCCUGAUCCAGCCAUACCGCGUGUGCGAUGAAGGCCUUCGGGUUGUAAAGCACUUUUGGCAGGAAAGAAACGUCGCGGGCUAAUACCCCGUGGAACUGACGGUACCUGCAGAAUAAGCACCGGCUAACUACGUG
This 484-nucleotide ribosomal RNA is filed under the name uncultured bacterium. RNAcentral describes it as "partial 16S ribosomal RNA". It matches the Rfam family "Bacterial small subunit ribosomal RNA", at positions 30 to 507 of the family's 1533-position model. The record is from RNAcentral.